UGACUGACGUGUUUCGGCUUCAUCAGGGUCAUCAGAAAUGUAUUAAAAACAACACUUAAAUACCCUAUCUAAGUGUUGUUUUAAUACAUUUCUGAUGAAGGUCAAAAGCCGAAGCAUGUCAGUCA
Non-coding RNA from Xyrichtys novacula (pearly razorfish), 125 nucleotides. Lineage: Eukaryota; Metazoa; Chordata; Actinopteri; Labriformes; Labridae. The record is from the annotation of a GenBank genome assembly.